This 301-nucleotide ribosomal RNA is filed under the name uncultured bacterium. RNAcentral's name for it is "partial 16S ribosomal RNA". It matches the Rfam family "Bacterial small subunit ribosomal RNA", at positions 509 to 807 of the family's 1533-position model. The record is from RNAcentral.
CAGCCGCCACGGUAAUACGUAGGUGGCAAGCGUUGUCCGGAAUUAUUGGGCGUAAAGGGCUCGCAGGCGGUUUCUUAAGUCUGAUGUGAAAGCCCCCGGCUCAACCGGGGAGGGUCAUUGGAAACUGGGAAACUUGAGUGCAGAAGAGGAGAGUGGAAUUCCACGUGUAGCGGUGAAAUGCGUAGAGAUGUGGAGGAACACCAGUGGCGAAGGCGACUCUCUGGUCUGUAACUGACGCUGAGGAGCGAAAGCGUGGGGAACGAACAGGAUUAGAUACCCGCGUAGUCCCUGACUCUUAUAC